Ictalurus punctatus (channel catfish) is the source of this 1176-nucleotide long non-coding RNA. The record is from Ensembl. Lineage: Eukaryota; Metazoa; Chordata; Actinopteri; Siluriformes; Ictaluridae.
UCUCAGACAUCCUUUAUUUUAUUUUAUUUUUCUCUCAGUGCUCAAUAAUCUUUUUAAACAAGCUCCACUUGUUUAGAAUUUUAACUCAACCUCAUCUAAAGUUUUUUUUUAAUUGAACAAAAUCGGCAGCAAAAAGGCACCUGAAAUGAACAGAAACAACAAACCGGAGAACGAAAAGCCUGAACUGAACCAUUUAAAUUGCAUUGCUGUGUACCUUAAUGAGGAAAGAAGCUAUGCUCUAGAGUUCAGCCACGUCUCUCUCUCUCGCUCUCUCUCUCUCUCUUUCACACACACACACACACACACACACACACACACACACACACACACAUACACACACACACACACACACACAUACACACACACACACACAGUUCCAAAAAAUCUUCAAUCUGCAUCAGUAAAUAAAGAUCUCUAGGGAGAAGAAUGUGAGUGUGUGUGUGUGAGUGUGUGUGUGUGUGUGUGUGUGAGUGAGUGUGCUGUGUGUUGUGUGUUUGGUGUGUUGUGUGUGUGAUGGCCUCUUCACGCAGGCACACAGGACAUAAAGGUAGAAAAUGAGGUGCUGGUAAUGCAUUCCCCUCCCAAAUACAGGCGACAUAAGCAGCUAAUAUUUCACCAUGCGCUGAGCAUUAGACCCGCCCACACACACACACACACACACACACACACACAUUCACGCACACGCAGUGUGUGGGCCAGGCCAGAGUUUUGGUCGUUCAAUGAACGUAUUGCACAAAAGUAAACAUAACGUGAGCGAAGGACAGUCAGUGGCGUGUCCCCUCCACUCCAAGCAGAUCAACUCAGUGGAGGCUUAAUAAUAAUAAUAAUAAUAAUAAUAAUAAUAAUAAUAAUAAUAAUAAUAAUGUAUGUAUACAUACAUAUGUAUGUGUGCAAAGAUAUACACUCGUACAUAUACAUGUAUACAUAGAUACAUAUGUUGUAUAGCUCUAUAUAUACGCCUUGAAUUUAUAUAUAGAUUUACAUACUGUUUUGCAUGUUAAUAUAUUCGUAUUAGAUUCCCCUCUUUAUUAAUUGCGAAAAGUGUCUAAAAAAAAUCUACUCCUCCUACCAAUUAGUUCACAGUCUAACCACGUGAGACCUGGGCGAUGAGUGAAGCCAUUCUAUUCAGGUUAUUAUUAUUAUUAUUCGUCUUCAGGAUUAGAUUAUUAGCAGUAG